This 339-nucleotide ribosomal RNA is filed under the name Triticum aestivum (bread wheat). RNAcentral describes it as "partial small subunit ribosomal RNA". Lineage: Eukaryota; Viridiplantae; Streptophyta; Magnoliopsida; Poales; Poaceae. The record is from RNAcentral.
AUGGUUACACAUAAUCUAAAGGCCGAACAACAAGCAAGAACGUCAGGCUUAAAACCAACCCAAUACAUCUGCAUUAUUCAUCCUUCAGUGCAACAGGUAAUUGUACUAAGGGAAAAAUACAUGGUAGGGUCGACUACCGGUGUGCCAAGGUAUUUUCAAAAAUGGUUCUGUAGGAUAAAGUGUAGCAAGGAAGCACAAUUAAUAGCAAGAAAACAUACAUGGGAAGGAGGUAUGCGUUUUCCACUUAGAAGGUCCAGUAGUACGGUGCCAAAGCUGAAUAUGACACUUUCUGGAGUGACUCUUCCUGAGAAAGCAAGCAGUCACAAUGAAAGAUGUUAG